Molecule: transfer RNA, 82 nt
Filed under: Schistocephalus solidus
Lineage: Eukaryota; Metazoa; Platyhelminthes; Cestoda; Diphyllobothriidea; Diphyllobothriidae
Rfam family: tRNA
About the family: Transfer RNA (tRNA) molecules are approximately 80 nucleotides in length. Their secondary structure includes four short double-helical elements and three loops (D, anti-codon, and T loops).
Source: Rfam by way of RNAcentral
GGCCUCGUAGCUCAGUUGGCUAGAGAGUUGGCUGUACUAAAGCCUUGUCUUGCUGGUGUGAGUUCGAAUCCCACCGAGGCCA